Long non-coding RNA from Carya illinoinensis, 2518 nucleotides. RefSeq lists it as uncharacterized. Lineage: Eukaryota; Viridiplantae; Streptophyta; Magnoliopsida; Fagales; Juglandaceae. The transcript has 5 exons. The record is from RefSeq and is a predicted model, not a curated record.
GAUAUCCGAUUUGUUGCAAUAGGUCUGUUACAUCAGAUAUCCGAUUUGUUGCAGCGGUCGUGUCGCCGCAACAACCAGACCGAUAUAUAAGCUGUCCCUCUUUCCCCCGUAAAAGGGUUAAGUUUUUCCCUCGCCGCGACCAAAUACCCAGUGCCGCCGUGAAUCCGUCGGGCCUCGCGUCACAGCCGACACCGAGCUCGCCAUGCGUCGUCUCCUCUGCCGUCGCCUGAAACAGAGGACUUCUUGUGCCGCCCCCAUCCGCCCUAUAUUAACCACGGAUCCGUCUCUCUCUAUAAAACCCCUCUCUCACUCUAUCCCUCACUCUGUAAUGGCCUAACCCUAGCCAUUUUUUCAUCUGCCUAUAUAUAGAUUUUCAUCUGUGAUUUAUUUUUCGUAGACCAUUUUGCUUGUAGUAAUACUAGGCGUUGGUACUAUUGGGAUGCAAUUGCAGUAGACAAAAUCGAUUUUUUCAUUCCUUUAUGUCCAUGAAACUUGUCCCAAUGUUGCUGUGUUUGCUCUGUUUGCCGUGUUUGCUCUGUUUGGUUGGUGCUGUGCUUAGCUUGUGCUUUGAACUGUGUUAUGUUUCUCCCUAGUAGCUGUUUCAUUGGAUGACUCAUUUACAUGUUCUUUCUUCAUGAAGCAUACCUGUAAAUGCAAGCACAUGCUUCGAACAUCUUCUUCAUUCUCUUAUUUUGUGCUUUCUGGUAUCGAUUAAGGAGGAAUUUUAUCCUUCUUUUUGGGAAAAUGUACUCUUCCUCACAACCCAAUGGUAUGAUAUUUUUAAUAACAUGGCUUUAUGAUAAACCGGCUCUUAAACCCCCUUCUCUUGUCCUGUUCAGAUGAUGAUGUGCAAGAUCUAUAAUAUGGAAAUUACAUAUGAUGCUCAUACUUUGCAUCAUCGACUUAGUGUGGACCUAAUUAUGUGCCCAGCAAGAUGAUUAAGCCUUGUCUGAUGCAUGACAUCCUUCUUAAAUGCAUGAAGUGACUUGGAAGCAAUCUAUUUUGUUGAUACAUGCUUAGUGGAAGAGACACUUGUAUGGGAAAAGCUAAAAAAAAUCAUUUGGAUUGAUGUUAGAAGUAGCAAUGCCCAUAAAAAAAUUCAAUGGCUUACCGCUUAUAAUUUUCUUGGGCCAUUGUUUACAGAAAAUCAACAUAGAUGAUAAUGAUGUAUCAUUUCAAUAAAUACACUCUUGUGAUAUCAUAGGAGAGAUUAUAUGGUGCUAUAAUGCUUCUGAGACUAACUGAAUUUGAGCGUUUAAAUUGUUAUAAAUUCCCUGUUAUAUUUCUUUUGUGAUCAUUUUCUGUUGACAAUCAAUACAAACUUCAUCAUAGUAAGGACUGCUGAAUUCCUGCUACGUAAACCACUAAUCAAAUCAACCAUUUCUCCACGCCUAACUCUUUUAAUGAUAUACCUGAAAUGACAUGCCCUUAAUUGUUUAUCAGAGAAAAGGUUCACAUGCAAGAAAACCUUUUAAUGAUAUACCUGAAAUCACAUGCAAGAAAACUUUUAUAAUGAUAUACCUGCCCUUCGAGAUCCCAACACAUAACUGAUCCCCUUCGUAACUUCAAUUCGACCAAUAUGUGUACCUUCUAUCUUCAAACUUUUGAUUAGCCCCUUAUGAAAUGUCUACUCUAUAGUGGUCCUUCGAGAAAAAUCCAAUAAAUAUAAUUAACAUCAAUAUAGAGUUUGAAGUGGUUGUAGGACCUACGCAAGAAUUUUUACAUGAACUUUUAUAUCAGCUAAAAGUUUCUCCAGUGCGCGAUAUAGACAUUCAAUUUCAGCUUGUUGCCAUUAAUGUGAUUCCUGCGAUUUAGAUGUCUAACAAUUUAUUUUGUAUUAACUAAUGGAUAAUCAAUUUUAUUAAUGAUUCUAAGCCAUUAAUAACCAGUAAACAAAUAAUAGUUUGCAAUAAUUUAGGCUGACUUUGUAUUACAAUGGGAGAAGUUAAAUCAUCGCAAGACGGUGUUGAACCAACUACAUAGGAGGUUUAAUUCUUUUCACUUCGAGUUGCACAAGAUCUACACCAGCUAUGGAAGUCAUAAAAUGGCGUUGGCAAAAGGCACUGAUUUGGUGGAUGCAGAGGUGUGGAAGACUUUAUGCGAUAGGUGGGGUAGCAAGGGCUUCUACUCUAUCCGUCUCAUGCUUUCAUUAUAGGGUUCUUGCCAACGUUGUUUUAGAGGUCACAAUGGCCCAGUCUCUAUCUUGUCCGAUAAAUUGUUAGGUGAGGUUGGUGGAAAAGUAUUGGCAAGUGGAGGUGAAGAUGCUACUGUUUGCCUUUGGUCCCUUAACUCUAGUUGCAAGUGUGGCCAGCAGGCGCUAAAGGCUACUCUGUAUGGGCAUGAAAAACCUGUGAAGUUAAUGUCAGUUGCUGGGCAUAAAACUUCUCUUUUGGUGACCAUUUUGAAAAAUUCCAAGGAGAAUUCUAUGCUUUGCCUCCAAUUCCACAACCGUUUAAGCAGAUGUUAAUAUUCUUUGGUACUAAUUUUCUAGCAAUAUUCAAUGAAGUUUGUGAUUCAA